UUGGACUUCUACCUUUAAUUUAGUAAAAAAAUUAUAUUAAUUAAUUCUUUAGUUUUGUGUUUAUCUCAAUUUAAAAAUGGUAGAACUAGAUGUGCACUUCGGACAUAUUUUAUUGUAUUAUUUCCGAAAAGGCAAAAACGCAUCGCAAGCACAAAAAAAUUUAUGUACCGUAUAUGGGAAUAAAGCCUUAAAAGAAAAGCAGUGUUAAUAUUGAUUUGCCAGAUUUCGUUCUGGUGAUUUUUCACUGAAAAAUGCUCAAUGAUCUUGUCGUCCAGUUAAAAUCGAUGAAGCCUACAUCAGGGCCAUUAUCGAUUCAGAUCGUCAUAGCACAACACGUGAUAUUUCAGAGAAGCUUUAUGUUUCGCAUACAUGCAUUGAAAAAAAAUUUAAAAAGCUGAGCAAUGUCAAGAAACUCGAUUUAUGAAUCCCUCACCAGCUUAAGGGGGGAAAUAAGUGUAGAGGCUUCAAAAAAUUCAAUUUUUUUUUAUAAAUCGCUUGUAAAACUAUUUAAAAUUAUAUUUUUAAAAUUUCAAGUCAAAAUUGCAGUUCGUUCAAAAGUUAUAAACGAUUAAGUGAAUGCCCUUCGGUACAAGGUCUGAGCGCGUGACUUGUAAAACGGAGCGGUCGAGUAGGUCAUAUACUACCAGCGGAGAUAUCAGCUGUCACGCAUUGUAGGUUGCCAUCCGACUGAGCAGUUUGUGUACAUCUUGGAAGCCACAAUUUUUAUCUGAAAUCAAUUACAAAGACAAAUUACUUCUUUUUA
RNAcentral lists this long non-coding RNA (763 nucleotides) under Polistes fuscatus (common paper wasp). RNAcentral's name for it is "uncharacterized LOC122521759, transcript variant X2". Lineage: Eukaryota; Metazoa; Arthropoda; Insecta; Hymenoptera; Vespidae. The record is from RNAcentral.